Vigna radiata var. radiata (mung bean) is the source of this 3121-nucleotide RNA transcript. RefSeq lists it as uncharacterized. The record is from RefSeq and is a predicted model, not a curated record. The transcript is spliced from 4 exons. NCBI's taxonomy places the organism in Eukaryota, Viridiplantae, Streptophyta, Magnoliopsida, Fabales, Fabaceae.
GCAGGUCAAUAAGGCACAAACUGCUCAAAAGUGUUGAACCCCUCUAGGAAUAAGGAUGCAAAAGAGAUACGAAAACGAGCUAAACAAGCCUUCUUUUCAGAGUUAGGGAAACCUCAUUGCCUUCAACUGGUGCCUCAACAAAGGUGAUUUUUGACUGCUCAUUCNUUUUUUUGGUGUUAAUGAAGGCANAGGCAAGGUAGACGACCAACAGCCUGCUUGGGCUCCAUUACGAGAUAAUCAUACGAUGACAAGUUCAAGGCUAAAGGAUUGGGACAAAANGCCUAAAUAUAACAGUGCAGGUUUCUUUGAGCUGGAAAGUGAAAGCACCGAUCCAUAAAUUGCAAGUGCUGAAAAGAAGAGGAAGAGAAGAGACAGAGAGAAGAAAAGAAAGAAAGAGAAGAAGAGCAAAGAAAAGAAGAGAGAAAAGAAAGAGAGAGAAGAGAAGAAGAAAAAGAAGAAGAGAGAAGAGAAAUAGAAAAGAUAGAAAAGGAGCAAUUGCUACUGAUGACAAAUUCUACUCCUACAAUUACAAGGGAACCAAAAAGGGAAGGUUUCCAAUUCUUUACUUCUUUUCCAUUCAUUUUAUAUUUCUCUUUCAAAUCAAUUAUCAUUCCAUAUUCAAUGAAAACUUCUUCAAAAUAUGGCAAUUUAAAUCUUGAGUUAUUGCUACCCUUAAGGAUACAAGAUACUCAAGAUAAAAGAAAAGUGACUUGUGAAUUAGGACUUUCAAAUUUCUUUAAAACCAUAAAACAAAGUCCUUAUUCUAAAGUUACUUCCACAAAAAAGUUCUUUCUUGGAUUGAUAAUAAUUGGAGAUAUAUUUGAUGCUUAUUGUAGAUAUGUUAAUGAUCCAGGAGGAAAGUGACAAACCAAAGUUGUACUUCUUUAUAUCUUACCAAUUUGAGGACAAAUCGUUUUUCAAGAGGGAGGGUAUGAUGGAAACCCAUUUAGGACAUUCCAUUCAAAGGAGUACUAACUAAAGUUAAGGCUAAGAAAGGGAAGUAAAGAAAAACUUUUUCUUAAUUUUCUUUCUCUAAGUCUUAGAAGGCUUCUCUUUAAUAUGUUUAUAUGUGUUUUGUAGGUCUAAUAAAGCUAGGAGAUCAUGGAUCAAGUAGAUGAUUUAGCAUGGACCAAACCAACCCAAGAAGAAGGACAAAGAAGUCAUUUUACACAAAAAGGGGGUGAGCUUAGCAAGGAUGGGGCUACAUCAUGAAGGCACAUGUUUCAUACCAUCACAUUUACACAUCAUGGAGUGCCUCGGCUGAAAUACUUGGANUGCACAUGUCCNACACCAUGGCAUUGCUGAUUCUAGAAGAGGUGCACACCUUCCACACCGUUGACAAGUGUUGGAAAUCUGCAUUGUUCAUUUUCAAUCAAGCAUCGUCCAUAGGCUAGACAUUUGCUUAUAAAGUUGCUUGUAUCAGCAUAGGCCAUCACCUUUGAUUUGAAUGAAGAAUUAUUCUGUUGAUCUCUGUCCAGAAAUUUCUUUUUGUUGAAGGUCACCGAGAGAGAGCUUGAGAGUUUCCUCUAGCCUCUCUCCCUAGCUAGGCUUCCAUUCCUAGCAUAUCUCUAUCCAUAUGCAUCACAUUUCAGCAUCCAAACUCUACCUUCAUUACACUUUUCUCCAUCACCGGUUCAUCAAUUCUCAUCACCGAACCAAUAUUCGUUCCACUGCGCCCUCCAGUCAUCAUCAUCAUUCUUCAAUUCAUUCUGCUGCGUUGCCAAGCACAAUUUCCAUUGCUGCGUUCUUCUACUGUCCAAUCCGAGAAGAAGAUCUAGUUGAUUCCCUCCUCCACCAGAAUUAGUUCGAUCGUUCUUCCAUCAAGCAUUUGUUGCACCUCCACCGUUGCCAUCUGCAUCAUUAAUAGUAUAGGUCUUCCACUAUAAAUAUGAGAUGUAUUGGCAUAUGAAAUCACUUUUGAGCUUAGUGAAAUGCUGCAGAAAUGAAUUUCCAGCUUGCUUUGCUCUUGAGUCACUAAUUCUCUUCACUUUCUCUACCCUUUCCUCUAGCUUCCUUCCAUAGUGGGAAGGCCUUCUGAGCUGAGGAGAUAACCCACACACUCCUACCAUUUUCCAAAACAGAAACACCAUUGCACUCAUCCAUAUACACUGCAUCAACAACAUUAUCCGCUGCAUCACUCUGUUCGAAGUUUGCUUGCUGUUUGGGAUUGCUACACAUUUAUUCCAGACCUUGGCUAGCUUCCAUCAGUUAUUAUAUUUAAUUUAAUUAUAUUUUAAUUAUACUUAACAGUAUUAGGCAUUCAAGAUAAUAACAAUCUUGCAUUAUCUUGAAUAGGGGUCGGGAGGAAAAGUUAUAUAAGGGUAGAGUGAGUUCUGCUAGGAUAGGGGUCGGGAGGAAAAGUUAUAUAAGGGUAGAAGAGGGGUAGAUUGAAUAUUGAAGAAGAUGAUUCACAGCCCAAAAAGAAGGUCGUUUGGGGUUCCUGCUACACAAUGGAUUUCAGUCUAUAAUGCAAGACAGCCAAUGAAGCAAAGGUAGAGCUGCAGUCUCUUUUUGGCAGGGCUUGGUUUAAUUUUGCGGGUUAUGAACUCAGAUUCUGUUUUGACAGAGGAUUUGAUUGCAGACAACAUCAUCCUCUUAGACACAUCUUAUUCAACAAAUGCUAUCUCAAAAAGAUUAUGUAUGUAUUAACUAAACGAAACCAUUGUUUAAUGAAAAUUCUCUACGAAUUUGUAGAGAUUGCUAGAUUGGCUUUUCCACUCAUUUAAUGUCAUGCUUUCUCUAAAUUUAAAGUAUCUGGUCUCACAAAAUGAAACAGGAAACAAUCAAUUUAUUGGUACUAUGAAGACUAAUAAUUUUUCGUAGUUUAAUGUUUUGUUAUGACAUGUUUAGUCUAGUUUUGCAGUCAAUUCCAUGUACUGAAAUUAUUAUUACAGGCAAAAAAUUGCAAAAUGUUGGUUAUUGUACCUUCUUCUGUUUAUGCUGUGAUUUUGAUAUGUGAUUGAGUCAGUACUGAUUAACAUUUUAUUCGGUAAAAUCAAUUUGUUAGAGUCUUUUACUUUGGAAACCAAAAUCUGGUUUGUCAAGUCUUGCAUGUUGCUUUUGCUGUCUAUUAAAUCCUGUGUUAACGUUGAAUUUUCAGAUUUCUUUUCAUCUGUUUUGA